UACGUAGGGUGCGAGCGUUGUCCGGAAUUAUUGGGCGUAAAGGGCUCGUAGGCGGUUUGUCACGUCGGGAGUGAAAACUCGGGGCUUAACCCCGAGCCUGCUUCCGAUACGGGCUGACUAGAGGUAUGCAGGGGAGAACGGAAUUCCUGGUGUAGCGGUGAAAUGCGCAGAUAUCAGGAGGAACACCGGUGGCGAAGGCGGUUCUCUGGGCAUUACCUGACGCUGAGGAGCGAAAGUGUGGGGAGCGAACA
Molecule: ribosomal RNA, 251 nt
Filed under: uncultured prokaryote
Description: partial 16S ribosomal RNA
Rfam family: Bacterial small subunit ribosomal RNA
Source: RNAcentral